AUUGAACGCUGGCGGCAGGCUUAACACAUGCAAGUCGAACGAGCGGCGGACGGGUGAGUAAUGUCUGGGAAACUGCCUGAUGGAGGGGGAUAACUACUGGAAACGGUAGCUAAUACCGCAUACCAUCGGAUGUGCCCAGAUGGGAUUAGCUAGUAGGGUGGGUAAAGGCUCACCUAGGCGACGAUCCCGAGCGGGUCUGAUCGGAUGACCGUCAACACUGGAACGGAGACAUGGUCAAGACUCCUCCGGUGGGCAGCAUUGGGAAAUAGUGCACAAUGGGGGCAAGCCUGAUGCAGCCAUGCCGCGUGUGUGAAGAAGGCAUUCGGGUUGUAAAGCACUUUCAGCGAGGAGGCGUUACUCGCAGAAGAAGCACCGGCUAACUCCGUGCCAGCCGCCGCGGUAAUAC
Molecule: ribosomal RNA, 406 nt
Filed under: uncultured bacterium
Lineage: Bacteria
Description: partial 16S ribosomal RNA
Rfam family: Bacterial small subunit ribosomal RNA
Source: RNAcentral